UAUAAAUAUUAUAUAUAUUAUAAAACCUUAAUGAUAUUAUCGAUAUUGAAUCUAAAAUAGUUAACACGAUGCAAGAGGCGAUAAGAAGUUUGAGCUCUUCAAAUACAGUUAACUAUUCAUUCAAACUUCGAGGUCAGAUAAAUGAACGAAUACAAUAAAUAGUACAAGUACAAAUGAAUAUACUUUUCAAGAAGAAAGCAAAAAAGAUAGAUAGACAAGAUGUACUCACUGUUAUUGCAUUACUACCGAGAUCGGUAUAUGUAUAUGACAGAUAUGAUUUCAUCAAGUCGUGUAGAAUAAUAGUUUAAAGUUACAUGACUAAAGAAAACGAACUGGUUGAGAAUACUACAUUAGUGUAACUGGUAGAACUACGGUACGUAUAAAAUCUUCAAUGGUUAAUAAACGUAAUCAAGAUAAACAGUGUGUAGGAAGAGAAUUCAGCUCUCAGAAAAGAUUUGUUUUGAUUUCUACUGGUUAACUUGAGAUGGCAAUUUACACCGGGCUAUUUAAACCACUUGUGUACGGUUGAGUAAGUGAUGGUGAUAAGUGAAAUGAAACAUAACAUCAAAGUACAGUGCAUAACCAGCAAGCUUCAUGAUAUUGUGUAACGAAAACGGAAACAAAAUUUUAUCUUUAAGUUUUAUAUCCGAGAAUAAAAUGAAUACAUA
This is a long non-coding RNA of Apis dorsata (giant honeybee), 668 nucleotides long. RefSeq lists it as uncharacterized. Lineage: Eukaryota; Metazoa; Arthropoda; Insecta; Hymenoptera; Apidae. The transcript is spliced from 3 exons. The record is from RefSeq and is a predicted model, not a curated record.